This 544-nucleotide ribosomal RNA is filed under the name uncultured bacterium. RNAcentral describes it as "bacterial SSU rRNA". It matches the Rfam family "Bacterial small subunit ribosomal RNA", at positions 367 to 917 of the family's 1533-position model. The record is from RNAcentral.
UUCANUGGACGAAAGUCUGAUGCAGCAACGCCGCGUGGGGGAUGAAGCUUCUCGGAGUGUAAACCCCUUUCGACCCGGACGAAUGCCCGCAAGGGUUUGACGGUACGGGUAUAAGAAGCCCCGGCUAACUACGUGCCAGCAGCCGCGGUAAGACGUAGGGGGCCAGCGUUGCUCGGAAUUACUGGGCGUAAAGGGUCCGUAGGCGGUGCGGUAAGUCGGGAGUGAAAUCUCUGGGCUUAACUCAGAGGCUGCUUCCGAAACUACCGUGCUCGAGUGCGAGAGAGGCAAGUGGAAUUGCGGGUGUAGCGGUGAAAUGCGUAGAUAUCCGCAGGAACAUCCGAGGCGAAAGCGGCUUGCUGGAUCGCAACUGACGCUGAGGGACGAAAGCUAGGGGAGCAAACAGGAUUAGAUACCCUGGUAGUCCUAGCCCUAAACCAUCAGGACUUGGGGUUUGCCCUGUACGGGGCAAGUCCCGGAGCUAACGCGUUAAGUCCUGCGCCUGGGGAGUACGGUCGCAAGACUGAAACUCAAAGAAAUUGACGGA